RNAcentral lists this small nucleolar RNA (125 nucleotides) under Erinaceus europaeus (western European hedgehog). RNAcentral describes it as "Small nucleolar RNA SNORA30/SNORA37 family (ENSEEUG00000018763.1)". The record is from RNAcentral. Lineage: Eukaryota; Metazoa; Chordata; Mammalia; Eulipotyphla; Erinaceidae.
AAAGCACUUUCAUAGGUCCUCCCCUAGGCUUUAGGGACAGGAUUUUGUGCUGAUAGGAAAUUCUUAAGAGUGUUGUUGUCCUGGGUUUGUGCCAGUAGCAGCUGUCAAUCUGUUGGGAUACACAU